GCCUUAUUCUAAAAUUGAUGAAAUUGUUUUUUUCCCCUCAUCAAUCUACACACAAUACCCCAUAAUGACAUCACAAUACCCCAUAAUGACAAAACAAAAGCAUGCACUUUGUUGAAGCACCUUUGGUAGCGAUUACAGCCUCGAGUCUUCUUAGGUAUGACGCUAUAAGCUUAGCACACCUGCAUGUGGGGAGUUUCUCCCAUUCUUCUCUACAGAUCCUCUCAAGCUCUGUCAGGUUGGACGGGGAGCAUCGCUGCACAGGCUCUGUCGCAGCCGGCCCGCGACCGGGAGACCCAUGGGGUGGCGUACAAUUGGCCCAGGGUCGUCUGGGUUAGGGGAGGGUUUGGCUGACAGGGAUGUCCUUGUCCCAUCGUGCACACGCCUUCCCUGUGGCUCAGUUGGUAGAGCAUGGUGUUUGCAACGCCAGCAUGGAGCCCGUCUACGUGUAUGAGGAUAAGAAUAUCCCCUACAAGUGGAGUUCCCCUAGAGGCCAUCAUCCAUGGACGUUUCUCCAACAAGUCAGAUGUCUGGUCCUUUGGGGUUCUGCUCUACGAGAUGCUAACCUAUACCAUACCUAGGCUAAAGAAACAAACAAAAGGUGUCCAGUCAGAUCCUUGCUGGCUCCAGAUAAAUAGCCAGACUUCCUCUACAAACUCAUGCUCAGCUGUUGGCGUGACAACCCUGCAGACAGACCGGACUUCAAGGAGUUCGGGCCCAAACUGGAGAACAUCAACCCGCUAUGAGCUGGAACAGGGCUCCCGAGUGACACAGCGGUCUAAGACACUGCAUCUCACUGCAGGACCUGGUUCGAUUCCAGGCUGUAUCACAUCUGGCUGUGAUUAGGAUUCCCAUAGGGUGGUGUAUAAUUGUCCUAGCGUUGUCCGGGUUUGGCUGGAGUAGGCUCUGUCAUUCAUUGUAAAUAAUAAUUUGUUCUUAACUGACUUGCCUAGUUAAAUAAAUGUUAAAAAAUAUAAACAGUGACUGUCCCUAGCCAAAGGAGGGCAGCAGAGUCAUUGUCUCUCAGAGUAGAGGGUAUCCUGGCUUGUCUCUCAGAGUAGAGGGUAUCCUGGCUUGUCUCUCAGAGUAGAGGGUAUCCUGACUUGUCUCUCAGAGUAGAGGGUAUCCUGGCUUGUCUCUCAGAGUAGAGGGUAUCCUGGCUUGUCUCUCAGAGUAGAGGGUAUCCUGACUUGUCUCUCAGAGUAGAGGGUAUCCUGGCUUGUCUCUCAGAGUAGAGGGUAUCCUGGCUUGUCUCUCAGAGUAUAGGGUAUCCUGGCUUGUCCAAUAUGAUUUCCCCCAGGCGACAUCCCAAAUGGCACCCUAUUCCCUAUUUAGUGCACUAGUUUUGAGCAGGGCCCUAUGGAAUAGGAUGCCAUUUGGGAUGUCAGUCAGCCAGUCACGUGGUCACCCCUCCACCUGGUGAACCCUCCACCUGGUCACCUCUCCACCCGGUCACCUCUCCACCCGGUCACCCCUCCACCCGGUCACCUCUCCACCCGGUCACCUCUCCACCCGGUCACCCCUCCACCCGGUCACCCCUCCACCCGGUCACCCCUCCACCCGGUCAACCCUCCACCCGGUCACCCCUCCACCCGGUCAACCCUCCACCCGGUCACCCCUCCACCCGGUCACCCCUCCACCCGGUCACCCCUCCACCCGGUCAACCCUCCACCCGGUCACCUCUCCACCCGGUCACCUCUCCACCUGGUCAACCCUUCACCCGGUCACCUCUCCACCUGGUCACCCCUCCACCUGGUCACCCCUCCAACCAGUCAGCCAGUCACCUCGUCAACAUGCUACCCACUACCCCAAUAUGCCAAUGAGAAGAUGAGAAUCACAUCUCAGUCCCUCUCCCUCUGUUGCUGUGGUGGACCAGGCCCAGUGUCUGGGGGAUUCAUCCUACAGGUCAUCUUUAAUAUAUCAUCUCAAGGCCAGUGAGACCAGAAUCAGAAUGGCUACAGAGUGCCUCAAGCUCUCCCAGGCCAGGAUGGCUUCAAUCAAGCCAUCAACAGCUCAUGCAGUGAUACACUACAUUUGGGGGUUUGGGAAGCAUCAAGAGAAAACACUUGACAGGUUUGAGAAGCAUCGAGAGACAACAAUUGACACGUUUGGGAAGCAUCGAGAGACAACAAUUGACAGGUUUGAGAAGCAUCGAGAGAAAACACUUGACAGGUUUGAGAAGCAUCGAGAGACAACAAUUGACACGUUUGGGAAGCAUCGAGAGACAACAAUUGACAGGUUUGAGAAGCAUCGAGAGAAAACAAUUGACAGGUUUGGGAAGCAUCGAGAGACAACAAUUGACAGGAUUGGAAUAAGAACCCAGUUGGUCUCUCGUUUGGUAGCAUCAAAGUGAUAAAACUGUAAUUUUACAGAGGAAAAUCUCAACCUCCAGUUAGAUUAGAAAGUCUAG
RNAcentral lists this long non-coding RNA (2407 nucleotides) under Salmo salar (Atlantic salmon). Its description in RNAcentral is "lncRNA (ENSSSAG00000113544.1)". Lineage: Eukaryota; Metazoa; Chordata; Actinopteri; Salmoniformes; Salmonidae. The record is from RNAcentral.